Eleginops maclovinus (Patagonian blennie) is the source of this 942-nucleotide long non-coding RNA. RefSeq lists it as uncharacterized. NCBI's taxonomy places the organism in Eukaryota, Metazoa, Chordata, Actinopteri, Perciformes, Eleginopidae. The record is from RefSeq and is a predicted model, not a curated record. The transcript is spliced from 3 exons.
CCUAGCUGACCAGUUAUCCACUGAAGAAAAGCAGAUCAGAGGAGCUGUAGUGUUUCCAUGAAGGAUAACAAUCUAUCUAAAGAAAAGUUCUGACAAAGUCAAACGUCAAAGGGAAAGAUUUCCAGAAGUGAACGGAAAAGGAGUGAGUAGAAAGAAGAAGAGCAGAAAAACGGUGAUCCAGACAGGACUGGUGGCAAGUUUGGUUAGAGGCAGCAAGCAUGUGUAGUGCGGCUGGUGAAGGUAGAGCGGAGCUGGAAUGCAGCGUCCUGGAAGAGGACUGGCAGAGAGGACAGAGAUAUAUGGCUCAAUGGCACAGCGUCACCCUCUUGCCACAACAUCAGCAGAGGCCAAGCGUGACGGAGGAAGAGCACUCAGGAAAACACGGGGAGGCCAGGAGGCUCCUCCAGCGUUUCCUUUCUGGGGCCAUCAGCAGGAAUUACCUACAUCCCAAAACGCAACCGACCAGACGACCCCAUCAGUCUACGUUCAACCCGUCUGCGACUGGGCCGAAGGUGCAACAAGCUAAUAUCAUAUUAUAUGCAACCACAGGAGCAAAGAGCACUGCUUAAGAUACAAGUGAGAGAAUGGGAAAGAUGAAAAAGUUGCCAAGGUUCCUGGUCGGAAUUUUUUGCCCUUGAAAAAAUAUUUUAACAAAUGCAAAAUGUGUAUUCUUGUUUUCAGUUUGAGGAAUUACUAUAGUUCAUUUAUGCAAUACAACUAGUUUCUUGUUGCAAUAUAAUUUGUUUUGUUGGUUAAAUUAUGACAUGUAAAAAUAAUCAGUAUGUUUGAUUGUUUGUUACUGUUGCAGAGAGAUUCCACUUUAUAGUAACAGUAGUAUUUUUCGUUGUUUGUUUCAAGAUUAGCAUUAGCAUAGAUUUUGAUAUAGCGAUGUGUACAAUUGAAGAAAUUAUGAGAUCAAAAAUAAAACUUCCAUGUAUUUAA